Molecule: ribosomal RNA, 369 nt
Filed under: uncultured Psychrobacter sp.
Lineage: Bacteria; Pseudomonadati; Pseudomonadota; Gammaproteobacteria; Moraxellales; Moraxellaceae
Description: bacterial SSU rRNA
Rfam family: Bacterial small subunit ribosomal RNA
Source: RNAcentral
CUCCAUGGUUAAUACCCGGAGACGAUGACAUUAGCUGCAGAAUAAGCACCGGCUAACUCUGUGCCAGCAGCCGCGGUAAUACAGAGGGUGCAAGCGUUAAUCGGAAUUACUGGGCGUAAAGCGAGCGUAGGUGGCUUGAUAAGUCAGAUGUGAAAUCCCCGGGCUUAACCUGGGAACUGCAUCUGAAACUGUUAGGCUAGAGUAGGUGAGAGGGAAGUAGAAUUUCAGGUGUAGCGGUGAAAUGCGUAGAGAUCUGAAGGAAUACCGAUGGCGAAGGCAGCUUCCUGGCAUCAUACUGACACUGAGGCUCGAAAGCGUGGGUAGCAAACAGGAUUAGAUACCCUGGUAGUCCACGCCGUAAACGAUGUC